This is a non-coding RNA of Bos taurus (domestic cattle), 72 nucleotides long. The record is from Rfam. NCBI's taxonomy places the organism in Eukaryota, Metazoa, Chordata, Mammalia, Artiodactyla, Bovidae.
UCCUUGGCAGUCCAGUGGUUAGGACUUGGCACUUUCAAUGCCGGGGCCCAGGUCCAAUCCCUGGCCAAGGGA